Molecule: small RNA, 357 nt
Filed under: Histoplasma capsulatum
Lineage: Eukaryota; Fungi; Ascomycota; Eurotiomycetes; Onygenales; Ajellomycetaceae
Also listed under: 1 other name
Description: hypothetical RNA
Source: RNAcentral
AAGGCCAUAAGAGCUUGCCAACUGCUGCAGAGGUUGACUCCCUCUCAAAUCAGAUCAACAAACAUCCACAACCCACACCAAUUAAAUUUGAGCAUCCCAAUCUUCUUGUCAAGUUUGAAUCAUCUGUGAUGAUUGAAGAAGCUCUAACUCUCUGUAUGCUUCAAUCAUCUUUUGCUGAGAAGAUAUCUGUCUCAGAGAUGUAUGAUUGAAGAGUUUAUCAAAACUCUGUGUUCAUUUAUAUGGAGCUUAUUCAGGAGAUACACUACAUGAUCAAUGGGAUUCUCUCAAUGAGUUGGAUAGAAGCAUUAUUUGCAACCAGCUACAGGAGAUUAUUUCUUCCCUUCAGCAAAUUGAGCC